CCUACAUCAACGCGGAGAAUGUAUCAGCUGCAGAUCUUAGCCUGGGGCGAAGCUCUUCCACCUCCAGGUUGCAGUGGAGCAUUUCAAGGGCUGGAAGAUCCCAGAAAACCUGACCAGCGUCCAUGCAUACACCAAGGCACUUUUCAGCCGCGAAUCUUUUGUGAAGACUAAGCCAGCCAAGGAGCACCUGAUUGCGGGAUGGGCACCCAAGGUGAACGCGUAAGCGCCCAUCCCCCUUGUGCUUUGGUGCUACCUUGUGGACCCCAUGCGUUUAUCUGAUCAGUCGCUAUCAGUGGUGUGGGUAGGCGUAGCGUCUGUAGUUUGAACCCAUGAUUGGACUGGAAUAAUGCAAACACCAUGUUCCGAGUACUUCUGGUUGUUGCAAGUGUGCGCGCCUUUUAUAUGGACCUUCCUUGCCGGUUUGGUUCGAGACCAUGAGCAUCUCUUGGUCUUAUGUAUGAGAGUGUGCAUACUGUAA
Molecule: long non-coding RNA, 478 nt
Organism: Panicum virgatum (switchgrass)
Lineage: Eukaryota; Viridiplantae; Streptophyta; Magnoliopsida; Poales; Poaceae
Exons: 2
Source: RefSeq, a predicted model, not a curated record